This is a long non-coding RNA of Raphanus sativus (radish), 796 nucleotides long. RefSeq lists it as uncharacterized. Lineage: Eukaryota; Viridiplantae; Streptophyta; Magnoliopsida; Brassicales; Brassicaceae. The record is from RefSeq and is a predicted model, not a curated record. The transcript is spliced from 2 exons.
GAAAAAAUUUUAAAACUCACUUAUAAUGAUACAGAAGGAGUAUAAUAAAUAUACAAUAUUUGCUAAUAAUAUCUGCUAUACUUUAUAUCCUUCUAUAGGAUCUUUAUCUUCACUCACGACAAACCCAAAUCUCCAUCUCCAUCUCAAUCUCCGACACCUCCAUCUCUUUCGUUGGUCUAGAAACUCAACCACCAUCACUUCUAUCUCCGCCAACUACUCCACCAUGAAUCGUCUUCAUCUCUGUUUUCCUCCACACCUCCGUCGUGUUCGUCACUGUCAUCGGCAAAGAAGAAGAACUCGAUUUCCCCUGGGUCCUCCACCAUAAAUCGAGUUACUUGAAUCUGUAUGGCUUCUUCUUCGGGUGAACGUCAUUAUGUGUUCCAUUACUCUCCCCUCAAUAUGAAUUAAAAGAUGCAGUUGUAAGUCACGAUGAAAAUGGACCAUGUGUUGUUGAAUGAAAAGUAAAAGGAAGAAGACGACAAAGAACGACAUUGGCCUUGAAGCAUGGAUGUGAGCUGCAUUGGCCUUGUCACACGGCCAUGUUAUCUGUUUGCAACGAAGUUUCAUCCUGAUGCUCUCGACACAUUGGUCAACCUCGUCCCUGACUACACAAGCACAGCCCUUUGAGAGAGGAUUCUUGAGCCGAAACACUUGCUAGUCUUGGACCUAAUUAUAUUCUUGGCUCUCUUAGAUACUGUAAAUUUUUUGAAAAAAAGAAACUGAAACAAUUCUUGGAAGUUGAUGCUUAUUCACAAUUAGAGCAGAAAUUUUUGGUUAAAGAGUUUCAUUUUUUUUU